GACGAACGCUGGCGGCGUGCUUAACACAUGCAAGUCGAACGGAAAGGCCCUGCUUGCAGGGUACUCGAGUGGCGAACGGGUGAGUAACACGUGGGUUAUCUGCCCUGCACUUCGGGAUAAGCCUGGGAAGCUGGGUCUAAUACCGGAUAGUAGCCAUUUUUAGUGUGAUGGUUGGAAAGUUUUUUCGGUGUAGGCUGAGCUCGCGGCCUAUCAGCUCGUUGGUGGGGUAAUGGCCUACCAAGGCGGCGACGGGUAGCCGGCCUGAGGGAGUGGACGGCCACAUUGGGACUGAGAUACGGCCCAGACUCCUACGGGAGGCAGCAGUGGGGAAUAUUGCACAAUGGGCGAAAGCCUGAUGCAGAGACGCCGCGUGGGGGAUGACGGCCUUCGGGUUGUAAACUCCUUGCGCUAGGGACGAAGCUUUUUGUGACGGUGCCUAGAGAAGAAGCACCGGCUAACUACGUG
RNAcentral lists this ribosomal RNA (465 nucleotides) under uncultured bacterium. Its description in RNAcentral is "partial 16S ribosomal RNA". It matches the Rfam family "Bacterial small subunit ribosomal RNA", at positions 28 to 507 of the family's 1533-position model. The record is from RNAcentral.